This 493-nucleotide ribosomal RNA is filed under the name uncultured bacterium. RNAcentral describes it as "partial 16S ribosomal RNA". It matches the Rfam family "Bacterial small subunit ribosomal RNA", at positions 28 to 506 of the family's 1533-position model. The record is from RNAcentral.
GACGAACGCUGGCGGCGCGCUUAGCACAUGCAAGUCGAACGGAAAGGCCUGCUUUCCCUUGUGGAUUGCGGGUACUCGAGUGGCGAACGGGUGAGUAACACGUGAGUGAUCUGCCCCCAACUUGGGUAUAAGCCUGGGAAACUGGGUCUAAUUCCCGAUAGGACUGCAGGGUGGUGCCUGUGGUGGAAAACGAUUUUCUAGUGGUUGGGGAUGAGCUCGCGGCCUAUCAGCUUGUUGGUGGGGUAAUGGCCUACCAAGGCGGCGACGGGUAGCCGGCCUGAGAGGGUGGACGGCCACAUUGGGACUGAGAUACGGCCCAGACUCCUACGGGAGGCAGCAGUGGGGAAUAUUGCACAAUGGGCGGAAGCCUGAUGCAGCGACGCCGCGUGGGGGAUGACGGCCUUCGGGUUGUAAACUCCUUUCGACCGCGAGGAAGCCACCUGGUUGGAAGGGUGGUGACGGUAGUGGUAGAAGAAGCACCGGCUAACUACGU